RNAcentral lists this ribosomal RNA (301 nucleotides) under uncultured bacterium. RNAcentral's name for it is "partial 16S ribosomal RNA". It matches the Rfam family "Bacterial small subunit ribosomal RNA", at positions 509 to 807 of the family's 1533-position model. The record is from RNAcentral.
CAGUAGCCACGGGAAUACGUAGGGUGCGAACGUUAAUCGGAAUUACUGGGCGUAAAGCGUGCGCAGGCGGUUGUGUAAGACAGGUGUGAAAUCCCCGGGCUUAGCCUGGGAACUGCGCUUGUGACUGCACAGCUAGGGUAUGGCAGAGGGGGGUGGAAUUCCACGUGUAGCAGUGAAAUGCGUAGAGAUGUGGAGGAACACCGAUGGCGAAGGCAGCCCCCUGGGCCAAUACUGACGCUCAUGCACGAAAGCGUGGGGAGCAAACAGGAUUAGAUACCCCCGUAGUCCCUGUCUCUUAUAC